CUGGGAAUCAAUGUGUGAGGUGGUGCUAUGUAGCAGGAACCCCUCUUGCUUUGCAAAUAGUUUUUUGUUUGUUUUCCUUUUUGCCCAAUAGAGCCCUGCUCUACUGACCCUUCAAUGUGCCCGUGUGCCUAAAUAUUCCUGGUCGUGUGAAAAGAACCCAGGUAUUAGCUGAACUAAGGAGCACAAUUCUGCAACAUUUUGGCACCCAAACACGGGGCUUGAGAAAUGAAUGCAAUUGGAGAAACUGGUUGUUUUACCAGGCGUUGAUUGGAAAUGUGUGCUUCCCUUUAAGCAGUCAAGCUCAACUUGCAGAACUGAUGGGAACCCCUUGGGAAAACUGGCCUCAAAUGUUUGUCUACACAGUCCACAUACAGGGUUCUUAACCUGCGGAAACACUUUCUGAAAAUGUCAGAACUCUUGAAAACAUGGAUGAGGAAAAGCAUAAGUACUGCUUUAUGCUUUUCUUAUGAAUUUUAAAAGAUGUAAUUUAAAGGUACUUUAAAGUGAUAUUUGUGCCCUUGUAACUGAUUCAAAGUAGACUGCUAAGGACAAUAAGUAAUAAGAGUCUACAAAUAUCAGUAAAUUAUGAGAAAAAACGGUCUAAUGGUACUUAAAAUUGCAUUGUGAUUUAUUAAAUAACAUUGAACAGCUCCACCUGUAACAUUAAGAUUCCAUUUGAGCAUAUAGAAAAUAUAUUUAUCGCAACCUGAAGUGAUUUGGAAAGUAUGCUGGGAAGAAAAUAUAUUUACAAAUUAGUCUCAGAGGGUAGGUAUCCUGUAGCCAGAUGGAAUAAGAAGAGAGGGAAGGGAGAUUUUGUUCAAAGGGGGAGCAUAAGCUAAGGAAUAAAGCCACAAACAAUGAUUAAAUUAGGUAAAGUGCAAUUAGCUGAAUAUUGCAUAAGCAUACAUAUGGGAAGAAGUGGAAAAAGGAGUGACAAUAUGAAGCUAAAGGGUUUGAAGUGUUCAAGAUAAUACUAGGCUUCCUAGCCUAUUCCGAGACAUCUUGUUUUAGAGUGCAAUAGAUAAGAACUCUAAGGAUGAAAGUAGGAGACAUGCAUUCUAGUCUACGUUUUGGUUAAUGGACUGAAAGUGAAAGAUGGACUGAAAUUGGGGGAUGGAAUAAAAAUGUGAUAGAAUAGAAAAUAGAAAAAGCAAUUAGCCUAAUGUCAUUGAUACUUAGAGAAAAUAUGGAAAAUAGUAAAUUAGUGAUAUAUAUCUUUUCUAAUUCACCAGGGUGAGUGAACAAAGGAAAUCGGAUUUAAAAGUAUUCAUGACAUAGAUGCAAUAAGGUUUCUCAGUCAGACAUAGCAAAUUGAGGGAAGGGAAGAUUUAGAGGAUUGGAAAAUGUCUUGCUUGUAGACUAAUAGGAUAUCAAUAAGCCAUAUGAGCAAUAAUUUGAAAUAGUUUUUGUAAAGUAUCAUGAAGGUAAACCCUGUUUAGAACAAAUUAGAUUUGAAGUACUUGUGACAAAUGCAAUUGACAAUGCCUUUAUGCAGCUGGAAAAUUGUUGCUUAGCAGAAAAGCUUGUGCUGGACAAAUAGAUGUCCAAAUUGAAUAGAUGUUUUCUUAAGCUGAACUAAUUGAGACAAAUAUCCUUAUUAAAUCAAAAAA
This 1610-nucleotide long non-coding RNA is filed under the name Homo sapiens (human). Its description in RNAcentral is "non-protein coding PURPL:35". Lineage: Eukaryota; Metazoa; Chordata; Mammalia; Primates; Hominidae. The record is from RNAcentral.